Molecule: ribosomal RNA, 465 nt
Filed under: uncultured Klebsiella sp.
Lineage: Bacteria; Pseudomonadati; Pseudomonadota; Gammaproteobacteria; Enterobacterales; Enterobacteriaceae
Description: bacterial SSU rRNA
Rfam family: Bacterial small subunit ribosomal RNA
Source: RNAcentral
CCUACGGGCGGCUGCAGUGGGGAAUAUUGCACAAUGGGCGCAAGCCUGAUGCAGCCAUGCCGCGUGUGUGAAGAAGGCCUUCGGGUUGUAAAGCACUUUCAGCGGGGAGGAAGGCGUUAAGGUUAAUAACCUUGUCGAUUGACGUUACCCGCAGAAGAAGCACCGGCUAACUCCGUGCCAGCAGCCGCGGUAAUACGGAGGGUGCAAGCGUUAAUCGGAAUUACUGGGCGUAAAGCGCACGCAGGCGGUCUGUCAAGUCGGAUGUGAAAUCCCCGGGCUCAACCUGGGAACUGCAUUCGAAACUGGCAGGCGAGAGUCUUGUAGAGGGGGGUAGAAUUCCAGGUGUAGCGGUGAAAUGCGUAGAGAUCUGGAGGAAUACCGGUGGCGAAGGCGGCCCCCUGGACAAAGACUGACGCUCAGGUGCGAAAGCGUGGGGAGCAAACAGGAUUAGAUACCCCAGUAGUC